Molecule: non-coding RNA, 97 nt
Organism: Tephrocybe rancida
Lineage: Eukaryota; Fungi; Basidiomycota; Agaricomycetes; Agaricales; Lyophyllaceae
Source: the annotation of a GenBank genome assembly
GGGGUUAUAGCUCAGGCCGAGAGCUGAGCAUCAAACUGCAGUGUACCUUCUUGUGAAUUCAAAUUCUGAUGGCCCGUGUUCGAUCCACGUGUCCCCA